This 339-nucleotide unclassified non-coding RNA is filed under the name soil metagenome. RNAcentral describes it as "partial contains 5.8S ribosomal RNA, internal transcribed spacer 2, and large subunit ribosomal RNA". The stretch from base 1 to 120 matches the Rfam family "5.8S ribosomal RNA", at positions 35 to 154 of the family's 154-position model. The record is from RNAcentral.
GAUGAAGAACGUAGCGAAAUGCGAUAAGUAGUGUGAAUUGCAGAAUUCAGUGAAUCAUCGAAUCUUUGAACGCACAUUGCGCCCCUCGGUAUUCCGUGGGGCAUGCCUGUUCGAGCGUCAUUUAACCCCUCAAGCCUAGCUUGGUAUUGGGUGCUUGUCCCGCCUCUCGCGCGGCGACUCACCUCAAAGUCAUUGGCAGCCCGCAUCUCGCCGGCCGUGAGCGCAGCACAGACGCGCUCUUGGCAACGACGGAUCGGCUCUCCAAAAGCUUAUUUCAACCACUGUCCUCGGAUCAGGUAGGGAUACCCGCUGAACUUAAGCAUAUCAAUAAGCGGAGGA